UUCCCCCCCUCUCUCUCUCUUUCAUCCCUCCACCUCCCUCCUCCCAUCUUCAUUUGUCUCCUGUGUAAAAACUAGUGACGCAUGAAGAUCAGAUCAGGCUCAAUCUGUUCAGUGUCUGAAGAAGACAUCUCUGUCUCUGGUUCUCUCUGUGUUGGCGGAGCAGCAUGAUGACCUGUGACUCUCAUUAACCACGUCUGUUCCUCAUCAUCUGAAUCUCUCUCUCUCUCGCUCUGUCGAAGUCUGUCUCUUGUCUCCCUCUUUCUCCUGCACCUCUAUCCCACUCUCUUUCUUCGACUCUUUCUUUGACUCUCUCACCCGCUCCUCUCUCACUCUUUCCUCUUUCUGUCCUUCUCCUUCCUCUCUCUCCUCCCUCAGUCUUUCUCCAGACAGACCGUUAGGGAGGCUGGGGAGAUCAACAUCACUCAUCUUCAUUUGUCAUUGUGGUUUUUGUCAGCACAAUAUUUUAAUAGUUUUCUUCCAUGAAGAAAGAGAAGACUCGCCACAAGCAAAAUAUUACAUCCAGACAGAGUUUUCUCUCCCACAGCGCAUUCUUUCUUAAACUAAAUCAACAAGGGAAUAAAUAGGAAAGACGAGAAGACAGGCUCCCCCAGGCUAGUGGAGAUUACAGUUUGGUUUAUACCCAGUCAGACGGUGUUGUCCACAGCGUGAACAUUCAAAUCUAAAAAUAGAACAAACCAGAGCAUUGUUAUUGGUGAGGAAGAGGGGUUCAUUAUUUUCUUUCAUCUUUAAGAAUUAUGUGUAAUUUUCCGUUCAAAGCUCUGCUCUGGUCUGAGGUGAUUUGAUCUUGAGAAAGCGACUGCAUGUGCCUCCUGUGGCUCUAAUGGUUCUGAUGUGAAAUUCUUUAAAGGGAUAUUUGUAACAUUUUCAGCUUCAUAUUCAUCAUCUCCAGCACCACCCCAACAUCAACAUAUGUGAAAAUGUCACGUUUCUAUUUUUUGUAGUAAAAAAAAGAUGGAAGUGAAAUGUUUCCAGUGACAUCAUCGGUGUGCAUCGUGAUUUUAACCAAUUAUGAGGAAGUAUUGCCAAUUUCCAAUUAAUUGUGUACUAAUUGGAAACUAUCUUUCUGACUACAGAAAUGUGCAAUUUUGGGGUGGUGCUGGAGGUGAGGAAUAUGAAGUUGAGAAAGGGGUGGUACUGGAGAUGAGGGAUAUGAAGUUGAGAAAGGGGUGGUGCUGGAAGUGAGGGAUAUGAAGUUGAGAAAGGGGUGGUGCUGGAGGUGAGGAAUAUGAAGUUGAGAAAGGGGUGGUGCUGGAGGUGAGGAAUAUGAAGUUGAGAAAGGGGGUGGUGAGGUGAGGAAUAUGAAGUUGAGAAAGGGUGGUGCUGGAGGUGAGGGAUAUGAAGUUGAGAAAGGGGUGGUGCUGGAGGUGAGGAAUAUGAAGUUGAGAAAGGGGUGGUGCUGGAGGUGAGGAAUAUGAAGUUGAGAAAGGGUGGUGCUGGAGAUGAGGAAUAUGAUAUUGAGAAAGGGGUGGUGC
Molecule: long non-coding RNA, 1493 nt
Organism: Oncorhynchus tshawytscha (Chinook salmon)
Lineage: Eukaryota; Metazoa; Chordata; Actinopteri; Salmoniformes; Salmonidae
Exons: 3
Source: RefSeq, a predicted model, not a curated record